GACGAACGCUGGCGGCGUGCCUAAUACAUGCAAGUCGAGCGCAGGAAGCUGACGGAACUCUUCGGAGGGAAGGCAGCGGAAUGAGCGGCGGACGGGUGAGUAACACGUAAGGAACCUGCCUCAAGGAUUGGGAUAACUCCGAGAAAUCGGAGCUAAUACCGGAUAGUUCAACGGACCGCAUGGUCCGCUGAUGAAAGGCGCUCCGGCGUCACCUUGAGAUGGCCUUGCGGUGCAUUAGCUAGUUGGUGGGGUAACGGCCCACCAAGGCGACGAUGCAUAGCCGACCUGAGAGGGGGAUCGGCCACACUGGGACUGAGACACGGCCCAGACUCCUACGGGAGGCAGCAGUAGGGAAUCUUCCACAAUGGACGAAAGUCUGAUGGAGCAACGCCGCGUGAGUGAUGAAGGUUUUCGGAUCGUAAAACUCUGUUGUAAGGGAAGAACACGUACGAGAGGAAAUGCUCGUACCUUGACGGUACCUUACGAGAAAGCCACGGCUGACUACGUGCCAGCCGCCGCCGUAA
Molecule: ribosomal RNA, 524 nt
Filed under: uncultured bacterium
Lineage: Bacteria
Description: partial 16S ribosomal RNA
Rfam family: Bacterial small subunit ribosomal RNA
Source: RNAcentral